GCUGGGCGCUGUGGUGCGCCUGUAAUCCCAGCUAUUCGGAAGGCUGAGUCCAAGAGUUCUGGGCUACAGUGCGCUAUGCCGAUCGGGUGUCCACACUAAGUUCAGCAUCAAUAUGGUGACCUCCCGGGAGCGGGGAACACCAGGUUGCCUAAGGAGGGGUGAACCGGCCCAGGUCAGAAUUGUGACUGUGGUUCUGACAUAGGAAUAGACAGGUAGAACAAUGAAACAGACUAGU
Molecule: unclassified non-coding RNA, 235 nt
Organism: Dipodomys ordii (Ord's kangaroo rat)
Lineage: Eukaryota; Metazoa; Chordata; Mammalia; Rodentia; Heteromyidae
Rfam family: Metazoan signal recognition particle RNA
About the family: The signal recognition particle (SRP) is a universally conserved ribonucleoprotein.
Source: Ensembl